GACGAACGCUGGCGGCGUGCUUAACACAUGCCAGUCGAACGGAAAGGCCUGCUUUCCCUUGUGGAUUGCGGGUACUCGAGUGGCGAACGGGUGAGUAACACGUGAGUGAUCUGCCCCCAACUUGGGUAUAAGCCUGGGAAACUGGGUCUAAUUCCCGAUAGGACUGCAGGGUGGUGCCUGUGGUGGAAAACGAUUUUCUAGUGGUUGGGGAUGAGCUCGCGGCCUAUCAGCUUGUUGGUGGGGUAAUGGCCUACCAAGGCGGCGACGGGUAGCCGGCCUGAGAGGGUGGACGGCGACAUUGGGACUGAGAUACGGCCCAGACUCCUACGGGAGGCAGCAGUGGGGAAUAUUGCACAAUGGGCGGAAGCCUGAUGCAGCGACGCCGCGUGGGGGAUGACGGCCUUCGGGUUGUAAACUCCUUUCGACCGCGAGGAAGCCACCUGGUUGGAAGGGUGGUGACGGUAGUGGUAGAAGAAGCACCGGCUAACUACGUG
This 494-nucleotide ribosomal RNA is filed under the name uncultured bacterium. Its description in RNAcentral is "partial 16S ribosomal RNA". It matches the Rfam family "Bacterial small subunit ribosomal RNA", at positions 28 to 507 of the family's 1533-position model. The record is from RNAcentral.